GCAAGUCGAGGGGUAACAGGAGAAAGCUUGCUUUUUCGCUGACGACCGGCGCACGGGUGCGUAACGCGUAUGCAAUCUACCUCUUACUGGGGAAUAGCCCGGAGAAAUCCGGAUUAAUGCCCCAUAGUAUUUUCAUUUCGCAUGAUUUGAAAAUUAAAGGUUACGGUAAGAGAUGAGCAUGCGUCCCAUUAGCUAGAUGGUAAGGUAACGGCUUACCAUGGCAACGAUGGGUAGGGGGCCUGAGAGGGUGAUC
This 253-nucleotide ribosomal RNA is filed under the name uncultured bacterium. RNAcentral's name for it is "partial 16S ribosomal RNA". It matches the Rfam family "Bacterial small subunit ribosomal RNA", at positions 57 to 305 of the family's 1533-position model. The record is from RNAcentral.